UCAGUCUUUGCCCACCCCUAGAUCCAAGGGCACAUGAGCCACGUGUUUCUCUUCUUCAGGGUAUCAGCUUCCUUGGAAUGUACAGAGCCCAUGGCAAACCAUUGAUUUCCUUAAACCAUGAUGCUAAUAUGUACAUUUUUCAAAUUUUAUUUAUAUUGUGCAUGUGUGCUACUUGUGUGUGUGCACCAUCCGUGUGCAGGUGCCUGUGAAACCAGAAGAAGGUGCCAAAGCCCCAGGAACUGGAAUGACAGGGAGCUCUGAGCUGCCUAAUAUGGGGGCUGGGAACUGAGCCAUUUUCCAGCGCCUGGUAAGGUGCACCUUUUGGGGCAGGAGAAUGGUUGGCUAAGGGUCUUCUCAGAAGCUUAUUUUCUCCCUGUACACUGCAGCCAGUCAGCAGGGCUACCUCUAAGUCCAGGAGAAACAUCACAGGGGUGCAGCCCCACCCCAGCCCGAGUUCUGCAGUUGCUGCUGACAGCGUCGGCAGUGUCACAAUUAGCAGACACCUUCCUCUUCUAGAGACAGCCAAGGACCGCAGUGGCUGCGCCCUCAGACCCAGCCCUGUGGGAGCAGGGCUCACAGAAACCACGUGUAAAAUGCGCGUCUAAAAAGGAUUGGAUUGGAUGCUGUCAUGUGCUUGUUUGCUUUUUCUUUUGAGACAGGGCCUUACGACAGAGACAGAGUUGGCCUGGAACUCAGCUGUGUAGGCCAGGCGGGCUUCAAACUUGUAACAAUCUGGCCUCAGCCUUCUCCCAGUUUAGGGAAUUACAGGCAUUCAUUACCACACCUUUGGUUUUGUUUUCUGUUUUUAAAUUGUGAUCCUCCAAAUCCAGGAAAACUGCCAGACAGCCUCCCCCAAGCUCCUGGGUCACACUGAGAAUCCCCUGGGCUUCUGCAGCUUCCCAAAGCCUCCUCUGGUGUUUUCCUUCAGUGCUGUGUGACCCUCAGACUGCUGCUUUCCCAGGACCAGGUCUGCUCAAGACUUCCGCAUGACUUGCAAAGGCCACACAGAGAGCAAAAGGAAGGCGCGCUCACAGCAACACCGUGAAUAAUUAUUUGGUGCUAUCAAUCAAGUGUCUCCGUGGUUGGCGCCUCAUGGGAUGGCCUGGAUCCUUCCUGGGACACGUAACACUUGCUCUUUGGGGCCGUUGCGUUCUUUGUUCUGGGCUCUGUUGAUGGGCUCUUCCAGCUGCACACCGGCUUGGGAGAGCAGCAGGCAUCACUGGAGCGUGCACCCUGACCAGGAAGAUGCCUGGAGCCCAGAACACUUCUGAGCUUCAAAGGGAGGACACAGGGACUCGAGAAGUGGCUCGGUUGAUAAAACCUUUGCCAUGUAAGCAUGAGGGCUGGAGUUCGAGAUCCCGCUGUGCGUAUAAAACCCAGGUGGCUGUGGUGGCACCUAUGGGAGAUAGGUACAGCAAACUCCCGAGAGCAAAGCUGAAUCAGGGAACUCCAGAGAGACCCUGCCUCAGUAAAUAAAAAGGGGAACAAUGGAGGAAGACCAUCUACAUCAGCCUGGGCCUCCACACAUAGGAGCACAUGCAUCUCCCAUCCAUGUGAACAUCCUUUUACAUGCAUAUGAACUGCACAUACACAUUGAAGAACAAAGAGACGACGCAGCAGCUCGUCAUGGUAUUUAGCAGAUGGAAAAUCAGCAGACGCAUUUAGAGCAACGUGUAAGCCUCAAAGCCGCCAACCUCCAGUACUAACUAUGCAUGCUGCGCAUCCUACUGCGGGACUGCUGAUGCCCCGAGGAGCCCAGGAAACUGCCCGCUGACAAAGUCAAGUGACGAUCGAGGAAAGAGAACCCAACCCUUGAAGUUUCUCGGCAUGAGCCAGACUUGGUAGAAGAGAGUCUACAGCUGUGAUGACCUCAGAAAGGCACACCCCCACAGAGCACAGUGCUUUACAGUGUGCCCGGCCUCCCUUCUGCACUUUGAGUAGCCCUCUACGGCCAGCAUGUUGUCCCGUCUGAGAGGCUAAACCUUUGCUGCCCAGUCCCUCUGGUGUGGUCUCAGGGAACCUGAACACAUCACCCUUCUGUACCUGCAUCAUGUGACCAAGUUUCUUCCUCCUGGCCCCCAUACACUGCGGAUGCUACCAAGGCUCCAAAGAAGAAGAAGAGCCUUCAACCCAAGCCUGGGGAGUAAGGAUGUGUACCAUUGAUUGAAGUAAACCCUCUAGAGACCUCUGGAGUGUGCUGAACUAGUAAGAGAAAACUCUUACAGUCUGAUCGGAUGGCCUGAAAGGAACAGAGUCCUCCAUGAUGGGUGGAUUGGUUGGGAUCCUUGGAAAUCGACUCUCUCCCCUUUCUCAUUCAAAUUCUUUUUCUCUUUAACUCUUAAGGAUGUUGGAGACUUCACUCAGUGGGAAAGACAAAGGGUUUGGAGGCCAAUGCGAUUGCAUUUGGCUUCUAGCUUUGGUCCCUAAGCAAGUCACCCAGCCUUGCUGUAUCUCUUUAUUUGGAGGUCCUGGGGAUCGAACCUAGAGCUUCACACACUAGACAUGGAGCACAGGCUCACACAGAGUCCCUUAGAGCACUAAGUGACCCCAAAGGUGUUCUGUGAGCCCCUGAGCCAUAAAUCAGCCAUUGACAGUUGCAAAAUAUAGGCUGUCCAUAGAGCUUUAAAGUCAAACUAGAUGUAGGGGCCACCGAGUCCUGCCAAGGAUGGCCUCCCCUACUCCCAGCUUACUUAGUGAUGGUGGAUUCAGAACUGCUUGGUCCUAGUUGGGGGUCUGGUUUGUGGGGACUAGUUGACCCAUGGGCUCAUAGCCACCUUCUUCUCUACUAAGAAUCUCUGCCCGCCUCCCAUUUUCUCCAGGGCAGGGGUAGGGUAUAGAGCCACUGAGGUUGGGAGCUGGUCCACCCUUCCUCCCAACCCACCUCAGCAACUGGCUCCCUGUGAAACCAGCGGCUCUAUGCUGGGACAUGACAAAUGACCAAAAAAAUCAAUUUGUAAUCUGAUUGGAGGUUUUUGAUUUCCUCUGAUGAGUUUAAAUUUCAUUAAAAGCAACCUUAUUCCAACAUAAAAAGAAUCCUUGAAGGGUAAAACAGGGGAUUGUCUCACCCGGUAUAAAGCA
This is a long non-coding RNA of Alexandromys fortis (reed vole), 3078 nucleotides long. RefSeq lists it as uncharacterized. The transcript has 5 exons. The record is from RefSeq and is a predicted model, not a curated record. NCBI's taxonomy places the organism in Eukaryota, Metazoa, Chordata, Mammalia, Rodentia, Cricetidae.